Lathyrus oleraceus (garden pea) is the source of this 491-nucleotide long non-coding RNA. RefSeq lists it as uncharacterized. Lineage: Eukaryota; Viridiplantae; Streptophyta; Magnoliopsida; Fabales; Fabaceae. The record is from RefSeq and is a predicted model, not a curated record. The transcript is spliced from 2 exons.
ACAUUGUUAGGCUUAGUAUCACAAUCAUUAGCCAUCUGAUAAAAUAAUUUCAAAGCCUGUUUGGUCAUGAUUUUGGUUGAUGCUGCUGUGAUUUCACUAUGGCUUUGUUGCAGGGUUCUUGUGUAUCAACCGAAAGCUGAACAAAUUGAUUUGAGAUCUGGAAGUUUGUCGGAAGAAAAUGAAUCAGCUGUUGUGUUGGAUUGUUUUGGCUGAUGUUACAUAUUUCUGGACUGUUGAAGAUUGGUUCAAGGAGUGACGGGUGAGUCUUGUGCAUGAUGAUGGUGGAGGGAGACGGUGAGGGAAAAGGUUGAAGAGUUUUUUUUUGUUGUGGAAUUUUUCCUCCAUAUUUCCUUUUAAUUCCAACCAAUUAUUGUAAUAUGUAUUAGUCACUAGGAUAUAAUAAGUUGUAAUAGUAUUUAGCUUAUGUAAAAUGAUUCACACAAUGCCAAAUUUCAUGUAAUGCAAUGCAUAUGGACAUGUUUAUGGGAUCA